Molecule: ribosomal RNA, 254 nt
Filed under: uncultured bacterium
Lineage: Bacteria
Description: partial 16S ribosomal RNA
Rfam family: Bacterial small subunit ribosomal RNA
Source: RNAcentral
GACAGAGGCCUCAAGCGUUAGGCGGAAUCACCGGGCUUAAAGCGUGUGUAGGCGGAUCGUUAAGUGUCUUGUGAAAUCCCACGGCUCACCCGUGGAACUGCUGGGCAUACUGGCGAUCUUGGGCCAACUAGGGGCAACUGGAACAAGCGGUGGAGCGGUGAAAUGCGUAGAUAUCGCUUGGAACGCCGAAGGUGAAAACAGGUUGCUGGGGUUGUGCCGACGCUGAGACACGAAAGCCAGGGGAGCAAACGGGG